GAGAGCAUCCCAGGACCACUGAACAUUCAGAGAACAGCCAGUUGUAAGGGGUAAAAUAAAUUGGAGAAGAGAACAUCCACAUGGAUUAAGUCCCAAGCUCACCCUUUGUUAGUGAGAAUGUAGUCACGUGGCCAUACCUACUACAAGACUCAGCCUGCCUGCACCCAGGUGAAAUAAACAGCAUUUUUGCUCACACAUAGCCUGUUUGGUGGUCUCUUCACAUGGAUGCGCAUGAAAUUUGGUGCUGUGACUCGGAUCCGGAGACCUCCCUUGGGAGAUAAAAUCCCCUGUCCUCCUGCUCUUUGCUCCGUGAAAAAGAUCCACCUACGACCUCAAGUCCUCAGACCCACCAGCCCAAGGAACAUCUCACCAAUUUUAAAUCAGCAAAAUGACAUGAAUGACUGAAAAAGCAUGUGGAGCACAAGACUCAAGAACUAAGUGAAAGGACUCACACUUCCUGAUUUCAAGUAAAGCUACAGCAAUCAAGACGUGGCAUUGAUGUAAGAAUAGACACAUCAAUGAAUGAAACAGAAUACAUCUUCCAGAAAUAAAUUCACACAAAUAUAGUCAAGAGGUUUUUUGUGUGCUAAAGUGUAUAUAAUAUUUACCAUUUUAACCAUUUUUAAGUGCACAGUUCAGAAGCAUUAAGAAUAAACAAUGUUGUAUAACCAUCACCAUUAUCCAGUUCCAGAAUUUUUCAUCACCUCACACAGAAACUCUGUACCUAUUAUCAACAAUAAAUUUUCAUUCCCCCCUUGCCCUCAGUCUCUGGUAACCACUAUUGAACUUUCUGUUUCUAUGAAUUUGCCCCUUCUCAGUGCCUAAUAUGAGUGGAAUAAUACAAUAUGGGUCCUUUGUGCCUAGUUUAUUUCACUUACUGUAAUGUUUUCAAGGUUCAUCCAUGUUAUAAUAUGGAUCAGAAUUUUAUUUCUUUUCAAGCAUGAAUAAUAGUCCAUGGUAUGUCUAUACCACAUUGUUUAUCCAUUCAUCAGCUGAUGGAUAUUUGGGGGUUGUUUCUAUCUUUUGGCUAUUGUAAAUGAUGAUGUUAUGAACAAUGGUGUAUAAUGUCUGUUUGAGCACUGCUUUGAAUUGUUUGGGGUAUAUACUUAGGAGCGGAAUUACUGGAUCAUAUGUCAAUUCUAUGUUUAAUUUUUGAGGAACUGUCGAGCUGUCUUUCACAGCAGCUGCAUAAUUUUACAUUCCCACCACAAUGCAUAAGAGCUUCAGUUUCUCAAAAUCUUUACCAACAUUUAUUUUUCUUUUUAAAAAUAUAUAAUAGCCAUACUAAUAGUAUAAAGUAAUAUUUCAUUGUGCAUUUGAUUUGCAUUUCCCUAAUGAUAACUGAUGUUGAGCAUCUUUUCACGUGCUUGUUGACCAUUUGUAUAUCUUCUUUUGAGAUAUGUCUAAUCAAGUCCUUUGUCCAUUUUUUAAUUGGGCUGGGUAUUAUUCUUCUGUUAUUGUUGAGUUGCAGGAGUUCUUUAUAUAUUCUGCAUAAAAGUUCCUUA
This 1505-nucleotide long non-coding RNA is filed under the name Homo sapiens (human). RNAcentral describes it as "long intergenic non-protein coding RNA 836". Lineage: Eukaryota; Metazoa; Chordata; Mammalia; Primates; Hominidae. The record is from RNAcentral.